Molecule: ribosomal RNA, 414 nt
Filed under: uncultured bacterium
Lineage: Bacteria
Description: bacterial SSU rRNA
Rfam family: Bacterial small subunit ribosomal RNA
Source: RNAcentral
AGGGAAUUUUGGACAAUGGGCGAAAGCCUGAUCCAGCGACGCCGCGUGAGGGAUGAAGGCCUUCGGGUUGUAAACCUCUGUUGUAAGGGAAGAAGCCACCGCAAGGAUGGUGACGGUAUCUUACGAGGAAGCCCCGGCUAACUACGCGCCAGCAGCCGCGGUAAGACGUAGGGGGCAAGCGUUAUCCGGAUUCACUGGGCGUAAAGGGCGCGUAGGCGGCUACGGAAGUCCGGCGUGAAAUCCCAGGGCUCAACCCUGGAACUGCGUCGGAUACUCCGUUGGCUAGAGGAUGGUAGAGGCUCGGGGAACUAGCGGUGUAGCGGUGAAAUGCGCAGAUAUCGCUAGGAACGCCGGUGGCGAAGGCGCCAGGCUGGGCCAUUCCUGACGCUGAGGCGCGAAAGCUAGGGGAGCGAA